CCUGGCUUAGGACGAACGCUGGCGGCGUGCCUAACACAUGCAAGUCGAGCGAGGAGAUCCUUCGGGAUGAUCCUAGCGGCGGACGGGUGAGUAACACGUGGGCAACCUGCCUCAUAGAGAGGAAUAGCCUUCCGAAAGGGAGAUUAAUACCUCAUAACAUUGCAGUUUCGCAUGGAACAGCAAUUAAAGGAGUAAUCCGCUAUGAGAUGGGCCCGCGGCGCAUUAGCUAGUUGGUGAGGUAACGGCUCACCAAGGCGACGAUGCGUAGCCGACCUGAGAGGGUGAUCGGCCACAUUGGGACUGAGACACGGCCCAGACUCCUACGGGAGGCAGCAGUGGGGAAUAUUGCACAAUGGGGGAAACCCUGAUGCCAGCAACGCCGCGUGAGUGAUGACGGCCUUCGGGUUGUAAAGCUCUGUCUUCAGGGACGAUAAUGACGGUACCUGAGGAGGAAGCCACGGCUAACUACGUGCCAGCCGCCGC
This 483-nucleotide ribosomal RNA is filed under the name uncultured bacterium. Its description in RNAcentral is "bacterial SSU rRNA". It matches the Rfam family "Bacterial small subunit ribosomal RNA", at positions 18 to 518 of the family's 1533-position model. The record is from RNAcentral.